This 253-nucleotide ribosomal RNA is filed under the name uncultured bacterium. RNAcentral describes it as "partial 16S ribosomal RNA". It matches the Rfam family "Bacterial small subunit ribosomal RNA", at positions 524 to 776 of the family's 1533-position model. The record is from RNAcentral.
UACGAAGGGGGCUAGCGUUGCUCGGAAUCACUGGGCGUAAAGCGCACGUAGGCGGAUCGUUAAGUCAGAGGUGAAAUCCUGGAGCUCAACUCCAGAACUGCCUUUGAUACUGAGGAUCUUGAGUUCGGGAGAGGUGAGUGGAACUGCGAGUGUAGAGGUGAAAUUCGUAGAUAUUCGCAAGAACACCAGUGGCGAAGGCGGCUCACUGGCCCGAUACUGACGCUGAGGCACGAAAGCGUGGGGAGCAAACAGG